This 484-nucleotide ribosomal RNA is filed under the name uncultured bacterium. Its description in RNAcentral is "partial 16S ribosomal RNA". It matches the Rfam family "Bacterial small subunit ribosomal RNA", at positions 30 to 507 of the family's 1533-position model. The record is from RNAcentral.
AUUGAACGCUGGCGGCAUGCUUUACACAUGCAAGUCGAACGGCAGCGCGGUCUUCGCUCUGUCUUCGAGUUGCCGACUGGUGAGUAAUACAUCAGAACGUCCCCAUUUGUUUUUUAUAGCUCGGCGAAAUACGGAUUCUUACCGCAUACGCCCUUACGGCCUAAGCGUGAGAUCUUCGGAUCUUCCGCUCUUGCAGCGGCCGAUGGCCGAUUAGCUAGUUGGUGGGGUAAAGGCCUACCAAGGCGACGAUCUGUAGCUGGUCUGAGAGGAUGACCAGCCACACUGGGACUGAGACACGGCCCAGACUCCUACGGGAGGCAGCAGUGGGGAAUAUUGGACAAUGGGCGAAAGCCUGAUCCAGCAAUGCCGCGUGUGUGAAGAAGGCCUUCGGGUUGUAAAGCACUUUUGGCGGGAAAGAAAAGGAGUGGGCUAAUACCACGGUGCGAUGACGGUACCCGAAGAAUAAGCACCGGCUAACUACGUG